GAUGAACGCUGGCGGCGUGCCUAAUACAUGCAAGUCGAGCGAACGGACGAGAAGCUUGCUUUUCUGAUGUUAGCGGCGGACGGGUGAGUAACACGUGGAUAACCUACCUAUAAGACUGGGAUAACUUCGGGAAACCGGAGCUAAUACCGGAUAAUAUUUUGAACCGCAUGGUUCAUAAGUGAAAGACGGUCUUGCUGUCACUUAUAGAUGGAUCCGCGCUGCAUUAGCUAGUUGGUAAGGUAACGGCUUACCAAGGCAACGAUGCAUAGCCGACCUGAGAGGGUGAUCGGCCACACUGGAACUGAGACACGGUCCAGACUCCUACGGGAGGCAGCAGUAGGGAAUCUUCCGCAAUGGGCGAAAGCCUGACGGAGCAACGCCGCGUGAGUGAUGAAGGCCUUCGGAUCGUAAAACUCUGUUAUUAGGGAAGAACAUAUGUGUAAGUAACUGUGCACAUCUUGACGGUACCUAAUCAGAAAGCCACGGCUAACUACGUG
This 497-nucleotide ribosomal RNA is filed under the name uncultured bacterium. RNAcentral's name for it is "partial 16S ribosomal RNA". It matches the Rfam family "Bacterial small subunit ribosomal RNA", at positions 28 to 507 of the family's 1533-position model. The record is from RNAcentral.